Molecule: ribosomal RNA, 440 nt
Filed under: uncultured bacterium
Lineage: Bacteria
Description: bacterial SSU rRNA
Rfam family: Bacterial small subunit ribosomal RNA
Source: RNAcentral
CCUACGGGUGGCUGCAGCGACGAAUCUUCCGCAAUGGGCGAAAGCCUGACGGAGCGAUGCCGCGUGCGGGAUGAAGCGGCUUUGCCGUGUAAACCGCUGUCAGGGAAUAGAAAUACUGAUCAUUCCCAGAGGAAGGGGCGACUAACUCUGUGCCAGCAGUCGCGGUAAGACAGAGGCCCCGAGCGUUAGUCGGAAUCACUGGGCUUAAAGGGUGCGUAGGCGGAUUCAUAAGUGUCGUGUGAAAGCCCACUGCUCAACGGUGGAACCGCACGGCAAACUGUGAGUCUUGAGGAAGCUAGAGGUCGCUAGAACGAAUGGUGGAGCGGUGGAAUGCGUAGAUAUCAUUCGGAAUGCCAAAGGUGAAGACAGGCGACUGGGGCUUUCCUGACGCUGAGGCACGAAAGCGUGGGGAGCAAACAGGAUUAGAUACCCUUGUAGUC